UUUUUUGUUUCUCGGCUUGGUGUUGGGCUUUGCANUUCCUUUGAUUGGNAUAGCUGGCCUCAAAAGCAUUAGCUGGCUUUUCAUGUGGCAUUGNUUCUACUCANCGUGAUAAUGAUCUGACCGCCGAGGACAUCUUUCNGGAUGGCCAAUUCUCAUUUGGGCUGCUUCUAAUUUUGGUAGAGUGNAUUCUGAAUCUGUUCCACUUUU
RNAcentral lists this unclassified non-coding RNA (207 nucleotides) under uncultured fungus. RNAcentral describes it as "sequence contains ITS2". The record is from RNAcentral. Lineage: Eukaryota; Fungi.